Molecule: transfer RNA, 71 nt
Filed under: Opeltia flavorubescens
Lineage: Eukaryota; Fungi; Ascomycota; Lecanoromycetes; Teloschistales; Teloschistaceae
Description: tRNA-Asn (ATT) (tRNA-Asn-ATT-1-1)
Rfam family: tRNA
About the family: Transfer RNA (tRNA) molecules are approximately 80 nucleotides in length. Their secondary structure includes four short double-helical elements and three loops (D, anti-codon, and T loops).
Source: RNAcentral
GCCCGGGUAGUCUAAUGGUAAGACGUCUGACUAUUAAUCAGAAAGUCUAGGUUCGAAUCCUAGUCCGGGCA